Molecule: long non-coding RNA, 745 nt
Filed under: Mytilus galloprovincialis (Mediterranean mussel)
Lineage: Eukaryota; Metazoa; Mollusca; Bivalvia; Mytilida; Mytilidae
Source: RNAcentral
UUGCUGUAACAGACUACACUAUUGGCAUUCGUAUCAGUACAAUAAAGUUGGUCUCCGAAUACGGCAAUACGACUCAAACUUUUUGAAACUUUUGGAACUGAAUGUUUUAUAUUAAGGUCAAAAUCUAACGCAAGAACAGAAUUUGGAUGAACUAUAACAUACAUAAUUUGUUCAUAGGUGCAACGUCCACAGCACCUGCCAUUUACAUCUUUUUCUCACUAUCUUGUUUCUGUCUACAUCAAUAAUGAAAAUUUGUCGCUCGUCACAAGUGUAACAGCAACUUCUCUUUGUCUGACAUAACAGAUAUCAGAUGGCAUAUUUUUGAAAGUCAUUAUUUCUUUUACAAAUACACCAGAAUUAUUGAACAAUAAAAUAGACUUGUUUACUUGGUCUACGAACACAACAUCGCAGUUUGGUAAUAUCUGACAUCCAGUUAUGCUCCCUGGGUGUUUCUGCAUUUUUAAUGUUUGCUUUAUUACUAGUUUGACCAUGCUUAGAACUGGGUUUCUAAUGAACUUGACUUUCCCCUACUGCUUUCAGUUGUAAAUGUUCAGGUGAUAAGUCAAUCGACAAUUUUCCUAACGCUGUUGUACCUCUUACAGUUGACUCUAGAUCAAAGAAGUCGAAAAUCAUAUUCUUCUCACGAAGAUUGUCUGCAGAUCUUUCAUUCGGGUUGUGAGUCCCGGAUCAUCACGGUCGUGUUUUUUGUAGCACCGCACUAUACUUAUUUAUUGUUCAUUUUCAC